This 553-nucleotide ribosomal RNA is filed under the name Colletotrichum sp. 2 ONH-2014. RNAcentral describes it as "eukaryotic LSU rRNA". The stretch from base 192 to 345 matches the Rfam family "5.8S ribosomal RNA". Lineage: Eukaryota; Fungi; Ascomycota; Sordariomycetes; Glomerellales; Glomerellaceae. The record is from RNAcentral.
GCCUGCGGAGGGAUCAUUACUGAGUUUACGCUCUAUAACCCUUUGUGAACAUACCUAUAACUGUUGCUUCGGCGGGUAGGGUCUCCGCGACCCUCCCGGCCUCCCGCCCCCGGGCGGGUCGGCGCCCGCCGGAGGAUAACCAAACUCUGAUUUAACGACGUUUCUUCUGAGUGGUACAAGCAAAUAAUCAAAACUUUUAACAACGGAUCUCUUGGUUCUGGCAUCGAUGAAGAACGCAGCGAAAUGCGAUAAGUAAUGUGAAUUGCAGAAUUCAGUGAAUCAUCGAAUCUUUGAACGCACAUUGCGCCCGCCAGCAUUCUGGCGGGCAUGCCUGUUCGAGCGUCAUUUCAACCCUCAAGCUCUGCUUGGUGUUGGGGCCCUACAGCUGAUGUAGGCCCUCAAAGGUAGUGGCGGACCCUCCCGGAGCCUCCUUUGCGUAGUAACUUUACGUCUCGCACUGGGAUCCGGAGGGACUCUUGCCGUAAAACCCCCCAAUUUUCCAAAGGUUGACCUCGGAUCAGGUAGGAAUACCCGCUGAACUUAAGCAUAUCAA